UACGUAGGGGGCAAGCGUUGUCCGGAAUUAUUGGGCGUAAAGAGCGUGUAGGCGGUCCGGUAAGUCAGCUGUGAAAGUCAAGGGCUCAACCCUUGAAUGCCGGUUGAUACUGUCGGGCUAGAGUCCGGAAGAGGCGAGUGGAAUUCCCGGUGUAGCGGUGAAAUGCGCAGAUAUCGGGAGGAACACCAAUGGCGAAGGCAGCUCGCUGGGACGUUACUGACGCUGAGACGCGAAAGCGUGGGGAGCAAACAGG
RNAcentral lists this ribosomal RNA (253 nucleotides) under uncultured bacterium. RNAcentral's name for it is "partial 16S ribosomal RNA". It matches the Rfam family "Bacterial small subunit ribosomal RNA", at positions 524 to 776 of the family's 1533-position model. The record is from RNAcentral.